RNAcentral lists this ribosomal RNA (440 nucleotides) under uncultured bacterium. RNAcentral's name for it is "partial 16S ribosomal RNA". It matches the Rfam family "Bacterial small subunit ribosomal RNA", at positions 338 to 795 of the family's 1533-position model. The record is from RNAcentral.
CCUACGGGAGGCAGCAGUGGGGAAUAUUGCACAAUGGGGGAAACCCUGAUGCAGCGACGCCGCGUGAGUGAAGAAGUAAUUCGUUAUGUAAAGCUCUAUCAGCAGGGAAGAAAAUGACGGUACCUGAGUCAGAAGCCCCGGCUAACUACGUGCCAGCAGCCGCGGUAAUACGUAGGGGGCAAGCGUUAUCCGGAUUUACUGGGUGUAAAGGGAGCGUAGACGGCAGUGCAAGUCUGGAGUGAAAGGCGGGGGCUCAAACCCCGGACUGCUCUGGAAACUGUACGGCUGGAGUGCAGGAGAGGUAAGUGGAAUUCCUAGUGUAGCGGUGAAAUGCGUAGAUAUUAGGAGGAACACCAGUGGCGAAGGCGGCUUACUGGACUGUAACUGACGUUGAGGCUCGAAAGCGUGGGGAGCAAACAGGAUUAGAUACCCUGGUAGUC